AGCAAAAAUGAUGAGCUCUUUUGAUCCGAAUUUAUUUAUGUGGAAUCACAUUUUGUUAAUGGUCUUCGAAGUUCUCUGAUCGCU
Molecule: non-coding RNA, 84 nt
Organism: Populus trichocarpa (black cottonwood)
Lineage: Eukaryota; Viridiplantae; Streptophyta; Magnoliopsida; Malpighiales; Salicaceae
Source: Rfam